UUAGAGUUUGAUCCUGGCUCAGGACGAACGCUGGCGGCGUGCUUAACACAUGCAAGUCGAACGGGGUGUUUAUUUCGGUAAACAUCAAGUGGCGAACGGGUGAGUAACGCGUAAGCAAUCUACCUUCAAGAUGGGGACAACACUUCGAAAGGGGUGCUAAUACCGAAUGAAUGUAAGAGUAUCGCAUGAGACACUUACUAAAGGAGGCCUCUGAAAAUGCUUCCGCUUGAAGAUGAGCUUGCGUCUGAUUAGCUAGUUGGUGAGGGUAAAGGCCCACCAAGGCGACGAUCAGUAGCCGGUCUGAGAGGAUGAACGGCCACAUUGGGACUGAGACACGGCCCAGACUCCUACGGGAGGCAGCAGUGGGGAAUCUUCCGCAAUGGGCGAAAGCCUGACGGAGCAACGCCGCGUGAACGAUGAAGGUCUUAGGAUCGUAAAGUUCUGUUGUUAGGGACGAAGGGCAAGGGUUAUAAUACAGCCUUUGUUUGACGGUACCUAACGAGGAAGCCACGGCUAACUACGUGCCAGCAGCCGCGGUAAUACGUAGGCGGCAAGCGUUGUCCGGAAUUAUUGGGCGUAAAGGGAGCGCAGGCGGGAAACUAAGCGGAUCUUAAAAGUGCGGGGCUCAACCCCGUGAUGGGGUCCGAACUGGUUUUCUUGAGUGCAGGAGAGGAAAGCGGAAUUCCCAGUGUAGCGGUGAAAUGCGUAGAUAUUGGGAAGAACACCAGUGGCGAAGGCGGCUUUCUGGACUGUAACUGACGCUGAGGCUCGAAAGCUAGGGUAGCGAACGGGAUUAGAUACCCCGGUAGUCCUAGCCGUAAACGAUGGAUACUAGGUGUGGGAGGUAUCGACCCCUUCCGUGCCGGAGUUAACGCAAUAAGUAUCCCGCCUGGGGAGUACGGCCGCAAGGUUGAA
This 915-nucleotide ribosomal RNA is filed under the name uncultured bacterium. Its description in RNAcentral is "bacterial SSU rRNA". It matches the Rfam family "Bacterial small subunit ribosomal RNA", at positions 1 to 898 of the family's 1533-position model. The record is from RNAcentral.